ACAGCUCAAAUUUGAAAUCUGGCCUUCUGGUCCGAGUUGUAAUUUGUAGAGGAUGUUUCGAACGUGGUCCGGUCUAAGUUUCUUGGAACAGAACGUCAUAGAGGGUGAGAAUCCCGUAUGCGACUGGGUGCCUAAGUUCAUGUGAAGCUCCUUCGACGAGUCGAGUUGUUUGGGAAUGCAGCUCAAAAUGGGUGGUAAAUUUCAUCUAAAGCUAAAUAUUGGCCAGAGACCGAUA
This 235-nucleotide ribosomal RNA is filed under the name Alatospora sp. Its description in RNAcentral is "partial large subunit ribosomal RNA". It matches the Rfam family "Eukaryotic large subunit ribosomal RNA", at positions 104 to 339 of the family's 3401-position model. Lineage: Eukaryota; Fungi; Ascomycota; Leotiomycetes; Leotiales; Leotiaceae. The record is from RNAcentral.